GCCUUGUUAGCUCAAUUGGUAGAGCGUGAGACUUUUAAUCUCAAGGUUGCGGGUUCGAGCCCCGCAUAGGGCU
Molecule: transfer RNA, 73 nt
Filed under: Parasitella parasitica
Lineage: Eukaryota; Fungi; Mucoromycota; Mucoromycetes; Mucorales; Mucoraceae
Description: tRNA-Lys (TTT) (tRNA-Lys-TTT-1-1)
Rfam family: tRNA
About the family: Transfer RNA (tRNA) molecules are approximately 80 nucleotides in length. Their secondary structure includes four short double-helical elements and three loops (D, anti-codon, and T loops).
Source: Rfam by way of RNAcentral